GGCGAGUGAAGCGGCAAAAGCUCAAAUUUGAAAUCUAGCACUUUCAGUGUUCGAGUUGUAAUUUGAAGAAGGUAACUUUGGUUUUGGCUCUUGUCUAUGUUCCUUGGAACAGGACGUCACAGAGGGUGAGAAUCCCGUGCGAUGAGAUGCCCAAUUCCAUGUAAAGUGCUUUCGAAGAGUCGAGUUGUUUGGGAAUGCAGCUCUAAGUGGGUGGUAAAUUCCAUCUAAAGCUAAAUAUUGGCGAGAGACCGAUAGCGAACAAGUACAGUGAUGGAAAGAUGAAAAGAACUUUGAAAAGAGAGUGAAAAAGUACGUGAAAUUGUUGAAAGGGAAGGGCUUGAGAUCAGACUUGGUAUUUUGCGUUCCCUUCCUUUUUGGUUGGGUUCCUCGCAGUUUACUGGGCCAGCAUCGGUUUGGAUGGUAGGAUAAUGACAUUGGAAUGUAGCUUUACUUCGGUGAAGUGUUAUAGACUUUGUUGAUACUGCCUAUCUAGACCGAGGACUGCGUCUUUGACUAGGA
RNAcentral lists this ribosomal RNA (519 nucleotides) under Dujonia zeylanoides. RNAcentral describes it as "[Candida] zeylanoides partial large subunit ribosomal RNA". It matches the Rfam family "Eukaryotic large subunit ribosomal RNA", at positions 88 to 612 of the family's 3401-position model. The record is from RNAcentral. Lineage: Eukaryota; Fungi; Ascomycota; Pichiomycetes; Serinales; Debaryomycetaceae.